AAAUAUUCAGGAAAACUUUGAAAUAAUUCGAUCUUGAUUUUUGUAUCUGGUUUAGCUUCCUGAUUUAAAUCUUGUAUUAUAUUUGAUUGUUACAUUGACGUUUUUGUAGAUACUUAAAUCUUAUCGUCUUUCUGAAAGUAGACAAAUCCACCAUGAACAUGCUGCACAAAGUUGAGCCUUAUGUUACUUACGGUGGGAGCUGUUGUAAAUUUCAGUAGAAAAAGAUGGAGGCUUGAGGACUCCUUUUGCAAUUGAUGGCGACCGCCGACCGACGAAGAUAACCGAUGCGUAUUUCCGUUUACAGACUUACAAAUUGGGUAUUACUCUCCCUCUUAUGUAAUAUAUUUGGGAUGAAUUCAUUUUGUGGUGCAAGAAUAACUGUAUAUUUAUAUGUACAAUUUUUCCAAUUUGAACUGUUUCAAAUUAUUUGCCUAUGUUUUUCUCUUUGCUAUAUCAAAAUUAUUACUUGGAUGUACCUAUUUGUGGGUUCUUGUUAUUUUUUCAUUAUAGAUGGAUUCCAUAUAACAAAAUACUGUGUCAUUCGUAUUUUUGGGUGAGUGUUAACUGUAAUCGUAAUAAGAAAAAAAUGGUCGGGCUGCAUCGAUAUUAAAUUGGCCAGGUAUCUAAUCUUUCAAAGACUUAUUAAUAGUUUUAUGCUUUAAUAGCCUCUGAGAAUGCAAUACUUUUGCAUCUAUUAAUAGUUUUAUGCUUUCAUAGCCUGUUUGUGCUCUUAAUAAAGAGUAAACCGUUUGUUUUAUCACAUGAUUUUGUGCUUCCACGUACAAGCUGAGGUUCAACGAAAACAUUUAGUGGUGCGGAUAAUUGGUACCUUUUACUUAUCCAUUUCCCUAAAAGCUUACCUCAUUUCAUUUCUUCUCUUACAUAUUUUUUUCUUUGGAAACUUCAAAACUACACAUUGUGAGCGUUACUGUACUUUUACCUCUACUUUUAAUGAAUGAAUCUUUUGGUAUAUGGAAACUUAUUUCAUUGGUUAAUCAUGUUCUACAGUUCGAAUUCACAACAUGUAGGGUACAAUUAAUCAUCAACAAUAUUGAAAACAAGAAUUAGAGCAUGGAAGGAGAACGAAAAUUUGCGGAAUACUAUAGUGUAAGGGUGUCUUGCGGUUCUUCUAUGACGUGUUAUCUCUGGAAGACUUGUAUAAAUGAUUACAUCUUUGAAUUGUUACGUAAUUUUGCGGUAUAUUUCUUUUUUGUU
This is a non-coding RNA of Erythranthe guttata (spotted monkey flower), 1215 nucleotides long. The record is from RefSeq and is a predicted model, not a curated record. NCBI's taxonomy places the organism in Eukaryota, Viridiplantae, Streptophyta, Magnoliopsida, Lamiales, Phrymaceae.